AAGAAGUCCAAACAGAGAAGGCAGUGGAUAUUCUACUCUUUCCAAGUCAUUACUUCACUCAGCACAGCCUGUUAUUUGGAGGGCCCAUGGAAAGCUGUCCAGGCAGGGAAGCAUGCUGUUGCUGAGAGGUCUGCCUCUAUCCGUCAGUAAUGGGUGCUUGUGUGAGCAGAGCAUUUGCAAGGAAUUUUACAAGCCCAAACCAGCAGCAGUCCAGGAUGGAUCCCAG
Molecule: long non-coding RNA, 226 nt
Filed under: Gallus gallus (chicken)
Lineage: Eukaryota; Metazoa; Chordata; Aves; Galliformes; Phasianidae
Description: long non-coding RNA NONGGAT001267
Source: RNAcentral